Felis catus (domestic cat) is the source of this 515-nucleotide long non-coding RNA. RefSeq lists it as uncharacterized. NCBI's taxonomy places the organism in Eukaryota, Metazoa, Chordata, Mammalia, Carnivora, Felidae. The transcript has 2 exons. The record is from RefSeq and is a predicted model, not a curated record.
AGCCAUCAGCCCAGAGCCUGACGCGGGGCUCGAACUCACGGACCGCGAGAUCGUGACCUGGCUGAAGUCGGACGCUUAACCGACUGCGCCACCCAGGCGCCCCGGCAUCAUGUUGUUUCUUGUAGAUUGCCAUGUUUAUUCUGGGCAUUGUGGGAGAGAGAUGUGCCGGUGAAUGGUGUCUCCUGGAUGAGUCCCUCAGCAUACCCUGCUCUUCAGGGACAUAGUUCCAGAAAGAAAAGUGGAAACAGUAAAAGAAGAAGGAGAAGAAGAAGGAGGAGGAGAAGAAAAAGAAACCUAUAUGUGAAUUAGCAGACACUCAGAAAAUGAGUACUUCACAUCACUGCCCUCACUCAUUCCUAUAGGCACCGAGCAAGCUGCUGUGGGGUGGGGUAGAAAAGAGCAUAGAUCUCAUGAUAGUGCCGACAUGGAUUCAGUGCUAACCCUGCUAUUUACCAGCCAUGUGCCAUCCCUCUGAGCUACAAUGUAUUUAUUAAAUAAAGAUAUUAAUAUACACA